GACCUCAAAUCAGGUAGGACUACCCGCUGAACUUAAGCAUAUCAAUAAGCGGAGGAAAAGAAACUAACAAGGAUUCCCCUAGUAACUGCGAGUGAAGCGGGAAAAGCUCAAAUUUAAAAUCUGGCGGUCUUUGGCCGUCCGAGUUGUAAUCUAGAGAAGUGUUAUCCGCGCUGGACCGUGUACAAGUCUCCUGGAAUGGAGCGUCAUAGAGGGUGAGAAUCCCGUCUUUGACACGGACUACCAGUGCUUUGUGAUGCGCUCUCAAAGAGUCGAGUUGUUUGGGAAUGCAGCUCAAAAUGGGUGGUAAAUUCCAUCUAAAGCUAAAUAUUGGCGAGAGACCGAUAGCGAACAAGUACCGUGAGGGAAAGAUGAAAAGAACUUUGGAAAGAGAGUUAAACAGUACGUGAAAUUGCUGAAAGGGAAACGCUUGAAGUCAGUCGCGUUGGCCGGGGAUCAACCUUGCUUUUGCUGGGUGUACUUUCCGGUUGACGGGUCAGCAUCAAUUUUGACCGUUGGAUAAAGUGUAAGGGAAUGUGGCAUCUUCGGAUGUGUUAUAGCCCUUGCUCGCAUACAACGGUUGGGAUUGAGGAACUCAGUACGCCGCAAGGCCGGGAAUUUAUUCCACGUUCGUACUUAGGAUGCUGGCAUAAUGGCUUUAAUCGACCCGUCUUGAAACACGGACCAAGGAGUCUAACAUGCCUGCGAGUGUUUGGGUGGAAAACCCGAGCGCGUAAUGAAAGUGAAAGUUGAGAUCCCUGUCGUGGGGAGCAUCGACGCCCGGACCAGACCUUUUGUGACGGAUCUGCGGUAGAGCAUGUAUGUUGGGACCCGAAAGAUGGUGAACUAUGCCUGAAUAGGGUGAAGCCAGAGGAAACUCUGGUGGAGGCUCGUAGCGAUUCUGACGUGCAAAUCGAUCGUCAAAUUUGGGUAUAGGGGCGAAAGACUAAUCGAACCAUCUAGUAGCUGGUUCCU
This 972-nucleotide ribosomal RNA is filed under the name Deconica pseudobullacea. RNAcentral describes it as "partial large subunit ribosomal RNA". It matches the Rfam family "Eukaryotic large subunit ribosomal RNA", at positions 1 to 959 of the family's 3401-position model. Lineage: Eukaryota; Fungi; Basidiomycota; Agaricomycetes; Agaricales; Kuehneromycetaceae. The record is from RNAcentral.